GCCGGCGUGGCAGAGUCUGGCUGAUUGCGGCAGAUUCGAGAUCUGCUGGGACAUACCCGUCCCUCCUCGGUUCAAAUCCGAGCGCCGGCG
Nanohaloarchaea archaeon SG9 is the source of this 90-nucleotide non-coding RNA. The record is from Rfam. Lineage: Archaea; Methanobacteriati; Methanobacteriota; Candidatus Nanohaloarchaea.